RNAcentral lists this long non-coding RNA (1759 nucleotides) under Rhinopithecus bieti (black snub-nosed monkey). RNAcentral describes it as "lncRNA (ENSRBIG00000046716.1)". The record is from RNAcentral. Lineage: Eukaryota; Metazoa; Chordata; Mammalia; Primates; Cercopithecidae.
AGAUCAUCAGGCAUUAGAUUCUCAUAAGAAGUGCAUAACCUAGAUCCCUCACACACGCAGUUCACAAUAGGGUUAGCAUUCCUAUGGGAAUCCAGUGCCACUGCUGAUCUGACAGGAAGCGGAGUUAAGGCUGUAAUGCGAGCAAUAGGCAGCAGCUGUAAAUCAGAUGAAGCGUCACUUGUUUGCUCACCGCCACUCACCUCCUGCUCUGUGGUCUAGUUCCUAACAGGCCACGGACCUGUACCAGUCCAUGGCCCAGGGGUUGGAGACCCCUGUGUUAGAGUCAAAAGAGAUGGUACAUUGAAAGUGUUUCAUAAGACCAGGCGCGGUGGCUCACACCUGUAAUCCCAGCACUUUGGGAGGCCGAGGCAGUUGGGCCACCUGAGGUCGGGAGUUCAGCCUGACCAAUGUGGAGAAACCCCGCCUCUACUAAAAUACAAAAUAGCUGGGCGUGGUGGUGCAUGCUUGUAAUCCCAGCUACUUGGGAGGCUGAGGCAGGAGAAUCGCUUGAACCCAGGAGGCAGAGGUUGCAGUGAACUGAGAUCACGCCUUUGCACCUUUAGCCUGGGCAACAAGAGCAAAACUCCGUCUCAAAAAAAAAAAAAAAGGGAAAGUGCUUCAUAAACUCUGGGUUUUAAUUCACUCCAAACCAGAUAUGAAGAUGUUGGAGGGGAAGAUGAGGAUGAGGAACAGAAAGAUAGAGGUGUCUGGGAGGCUCCCUGGGAAAAGCUGAGGCAGAGGCUGAAGGAGAGGAAGGGCUGGGCAUGGCAUGGGACUGGCAUGGCUGGAGCAGGGGUUGGCUGCUGGAGGCUGCUGUUGGAUUCUUUCAGAACACGUAUGACCGCUGCCCCAUGGAGCUGGUCCGCUGCAUCCGGCACAUUCUGUACAAUGAACAGAGGCUGGUCCGAGAAGCCAACAACUGCAGUUCUCCGGCUGGGAUCCUGGUUGACGCCAUGUCCCAGAAACACCUUCAGAUCAACCAGACAUUUGAGGAGCUGCGACUGGUCACGCAGGACACAGAGAAUGAGCUGAAGAAGCUGCAGCAGACUCAGGAAUACUUCAUCAUCCAGUACCAGGAGAGCCUGAGGAUCCAAGCUCAGUUUGCCCAGCUGGCCCAGCUGAGCCCCCAGGAGCGUCUGAGCCGGGAGACAGCCCUCCGGCAGAAGCAGGUGUCUCUGGAGACGUGGCUGCAGCGCGAGGCACAGACGCUGCAGCAGUACCGCGUGGUGAGUGGGGUCCUGGCCCUAUCCUGGGCGUAGGUGCCAUAAAGUCAGUCUCUGGGGACCCAAGGGAGGGCUGGGACCCGGAUGAGAGCAGAACCUGGGAGGGCAGGAGGCCUUUUUUCCUGGGGGCCAUGCGAGGCAGAGCAGCUCAGCCCUGCCAUGCCAUUUCCCAGCAAGGCCCUGCAGUGUUCUCUGGGAGCCCAGAAGGGGCUGCUCUCCUCCCUUCCCUCAGGAGCUGGCCGAGAAGCACCAGAAGACCCUGCAGCUGCUGCGGAAGCAGCAGACCAUCAUCCUAGAUGACGAGCUGAUCCAGUGGAAGCGGCGGCAGCAGCUGGCCGGGAACGGCGGGCCCCCCGAGGGCAGCCUGGACGUGCUACAGUCCUGGUAAUGGUGUGGGGCGGCCAGAGGGCAGGGCAGGAGGGGCUGGUGGGGACCCUGGCUGCUUCUGCCUCCUGUGCUGGCUCCUGCAACAGGCCCCCUCCAUCCUGGGACAGCUCUUGUUUCUCCAGGGGGCCUGGUUCCUGAAUCAGACUUUG